AUGUCUUUGCUAACUGAUGACCUGGUUGUGGAGAUUUUGUCUUGGCUACCGCUGAAGUCCUUUUGCCGCUUCAAAUGUGUCUGCAAGUCUUGGCAUGCCUUGUCAUCUGAUCCACACUACCGCAAGAAGUUCCCAAGAACUCCCGUUGGUCUCUUCUACCAAAUACCUGAAUACCACACUGGUAUCGAUCUCGUUAGCCUUCCCUCAAGCGACAAAGAAAUUGACACAACACUUAGCUUUGUGCCAUGUUAUGAGGACCUACAGCUUAUGGAUUGCAGCAAUGGCCUACUUCUUUGUUAUCAUGGUGGUAUUAGAAAGUAUUUUGCAGAUAUAUCCCACGUUAUUGUGUGCAAUCCGGCAACUCAAGAGUGGAUGUCACUUCCAAAUACUGAACCUGGACCGUCAAGCUCUUUUUGUGACAUUGUGUUGUGUUUUGAUCCAUCAUGGUCUCAACACUUCCAUGUCUUCAGCUUCCAGUGCCAGUCUUCCAUGGCUGGUGAAGACUUCACUGAAGUUAAGGUUUUUUUCUCCGAGAAUUUCACAUGGUCUAGUUGUCGCUGGAAAAGUGAAACUGGAUUUGAUGGUAGUUCACGCUUCAUGAAUGGCGUGCUGUAUGUGAGUCAUCUAUUGGAGCAUGUCCUUCUGGCAAUCGAUGCACCCGACCCAUGUACGCAGUUGCUUAGUCAGAGGAUCAUUCAGCUGCCAGGAUUUCCAAAUGAUCCGGGGAUGUUUUCUUGGUGUAGUGGGUGUCUUUGCCAAUCAUCAGGGGUCUUAUGCUACGCACAACAAGAAUUUGAUGGUUGUAUGAUGCGGAUUUGGAGUUUGGAAGGCACUGACAGUUGGGUGGUGAGGCAUCGUCUGAGUAUGAACAAUGUAUUUGGGAGGGACUUGUUGCUCCGCACUGAUCAUAAUGGAUUUUGGUAUUUCGAUUAUGACAUCCACGAUUUUGACUUGGAGAGAGAGCUAGUUAUCCUUGUUGACAGAAUUGAUCAUAAGCUCAUCUCAUUUAGCAUCAGUACUGGGAAAGGCUCAGAGAUUCUAAAGAUUUCAGGGUUCGGUUACGUAUAUUGA
RNAcentral lists this ribosomal RNA (1071 nucleotides) under Triticum aestivum (bread wheat). RNAcentral describes it as "partial small subunit ribosomal RNA". Lineage: Eukaryota; Viridiplantae; Streptophyta; Magnoliopsida; Poales; Poaceae. The record is from RNAcentral.